This 429-nucleotide ribosomal RNA is filed under the name Chloroflexota bacterium. Its description in RNAcentral is "Chloroflexi bacterium partial 16S ribosomal RNA". It matches the Rfam family "Bacterial small subunit ribosomal RNA", at positions 355 to 776 of the family's 1533-position model. Lineage: Bacteria; Bacillati; Chloroflexota. The record is from RNAcentral.
UGGGGAAUAUUGCACAAUGGGCGCAAGCCUGAUGCAGCCAUGCCGCGUGUGUGAAGAAGGCCUUCGGGUUGUAAAGCACUUUCAGUGGGGAGGAAGGCGAUAAGGUUAAUAACCUUGUCGAUUGACGUUACCCGCAGAAGAAGCACCGGCUAACUCCGUGCCAGCAGCCGCGGUAAUACGGAGGGUGCAAGCGUUAAUCGGAAUUACUGGGCGUAAAGCGCACGCAGGCGGUCUGUCAAGUCGGAUGUGAAAUCCCCGGGCUCAACCUGGGAACUGCAUUCGAAACUGGCAGGCUAGAGUCUUGUAGAGGGGGGUAGAAUUCCAGGUGUAGCGGUGAAAUGCGUAGAGAUCUGGAGGAAUACCGGUGGCGAAGGCGGCCCCCUGGACGAAGACUGACGCUCAGGUGCGAAAGCGUGGGGAGCAAACAGG